RNAcentral lists this long non-coding RNA (611 nucleotides) under Carica papaya (papaya). Its description in RNAcentral is "long non-coding RNA (CPAP_LNC001399)". Lineage: Eukaryota; Viridiplantae; Streptophyta; Magnoliopsida; Brassicales; Caricaceae. The record is from RNAcentral.
CCCAUCAUACAGCAACAAGCACUUUUGAUAAGAGCUUCCAAUGUAUGGCCACCACAGAACAUAAACAAAUGACGACUAGAUAUAGAGCCUUGUUGUCCACCACCUCCAUGCCCAGAGCCUUUGUAGAUGCUACUGCUAGCACCAUAGAGAUUUGUGUACUAUGCAGUGCAAAUGGCACAUACAUCCAGAUACCAAUUAAAAGUGGUGAUCAAGCUCUUGUCAUAAAUAAAAAAACAUGAUCAUGCAGUCUAGAUUUUACAUAUAGUCGACAUAAAGUUUGAAAGAUGAAACUUUCAAUCUGUGUAAUCUUUAAGUAAGUGGGAUGACGAGGAGAUUAGGAUUGUGCAUUUUGUAUAUAAUAAAUGCAGGUGUGGUACUAACAGUCUCUAAAGAGACACUUGUAGCAACCAAAGGAGACAUAAGAGGCGCAUUAUGCAUUUUGGAUCUCUUCUACACCAUCUGCAAGUUUUGCAACCUGCCUUUUCUUAAUCCGGAUCACAUUUUAUCUUUUAGAAAGAAAUAUAUCUACAUUACUCUGCAUAACAUGUAGUGGAUUUGCACAUAAAUAUGCGUAUAAACAACCAACAAAAUGAUAAAGGUUUACCUCUCAU